CGCACGGGUGCGUAACGCGUGGGAAUCUGCCCUUGGGUUCGGAAUAACAGUUAGAAAUGACUGCUAAUACCGAAUGAUGACGUAAGUCCAAAGAUUUAUCGCCCAGGGAUGAGCCCGCGUAGGAUUAGCUAGUUGGUGUGGUAAAGGCGCACCAAGGCGACGAUCCUUAGCUGGUCUGAGAGGAUGAUCAGCCACACUGGGACUGAGACACGGCCCAG
This 218-nucleotide ribosomal RNA is filed under the name uncultured bacterium. RNAcentral's name for it is "partial 16S ribosomal RNA". It matches the Rfam family "Bacterial small subunit ribosomal RNA", at positions 99 to 334 of the family's 1533-position model. The record is from RNAcentral.